RNAcentral lists this long non-coding RNA (4784 nucleotides) under Sus scrofa (pig). RNAcentral describes it as "lncRNA (ENSSSCG00000056268.1)". The record is from RNAcentral. Lineage: Eukaryota; Metazoa; Chordata; Mammalia; Artiodactyla; Suidae.
ACACCAGAUCCUUAACCAUUAGACCACCAGGGAACUCCUGAUUAAAAAUGUUUUCAACUAUUGAAUUUGGAUUGGAUAAGCAAUGAGGUCCUGUUGUAUAGCACAGGGAACUAUAUCCAGUCACUUGUGAUGGAACAUGAUGGAAGAUAAUACGAGAAAAAGAAUGUAUAUAUAUCUGAAUAACUGGGUCACUUUACUGUACAGCAGAAAUUGACAGAACAUUGUCAAUCAAUUAUAAUAAAUUUUUGUCAUGUUUUCAGAAAAAAAACAAAAAAGAAAAAAAAGAAAAAAAGGAAUUCUCCUGAGGUGCAGUGGUUAAGGAUCCAGCAUAUUCACUACUGUGGUUCAGGUCACUGCCGUGGUGUAGAUUUGAUCCCUGGCCUGGGAACUUUCACAUGUAGUGGGCAUGACCAAAAAAAAAAAUGUUUUAAAAUGGCCUGUUCCUGGUCAAAAGCUCAAGGUCAUGUUUUCUAGUCUAAGAAGUCGGGGGAACACUUCUUAGACUCAGUAUCUCCUAGGGAUGAAGUCACCGUAUAAAAGACUCCAAAUAGUCCUAUAGUAAAGAAACUUGAUUACUCUGCAUACCAGAACUUUCCCACACUUAUUUUUCUGGCUCACAGAAAUCUUUUCUGUGUGGCAGCCCACCAAACACUAUGCCACAGGACAUGUUUUGAGAGACACUUUUACAUAUUGUAGAAGGAGGUACAAUACUAAUAAACUUCCUGACCCCACCAUCGUCCUCCUCCUCUGUCCUGCCCCUCUUACUUUAUGCUUCUCUCCUCCCACCACCACUCUUUCAUCUCUCCUUCCCUAUCUCUCCUUUCUUCCCAUCCACAUUUAUUGACAUAUCAUGAAGAGAUUUGCCCAUCACUGAAAGCAUUUCAACAGUCCCCUUUGCAUUGAAACAAUGCCCCGGGCUGUGUCAAAAGGUGAAAGAAAAAUACUCCGCUUCUGCCCCUCAGGAGCUGUCAGGAGCUCUGAGAUCUGGGCUGGGUGAAUAUGCAGAUUCCUGAUAACAUAAGUAAUCUACAUGCAAGCAAAUGGCUGAACACACGGCCUGUUCCUGGAGGGGGAUGGGGGGUCACCAUAGUGAAUUACAGCUACACCUUUUUCAGUACCAACAACUUGCCAAACACAGCUCAGCAGGGAGAGGAGAAGCACAAUUGUUCUUCCCUGUAUAAUAUAUGCCGUUGUACAGCCAGUGCUGUACUCUCAGAGGGACAUUGUGCAAUUUUCAGAGUUUGUCAUGUGCUGCCUCCCUUGGGAGGCUGCACAAGAAUUAGGAGGUUUGGUGUCUACUGCCAGCUCAGCCGUGGAUUUGCCAUGGGACCUUGAGCAAGCCACUUGGCCUCUCUGGGCCUCAGAGGAGGGUUCCUUAGAUGACCUGGAGUGGCUCUCCCCUUCCUGAUCUGAAAUUCUGUGAUUUGUCUGAUGGGAUUGCUGCUCUUAGUUGAGGUGGCUUGGAGUGAGGUGAGGUGGGAGCUGCAGAGGAGAUAUUUGCCCUCAAAACCUUCUUAAAAACCCCUUGCCAAAUGUCACUUGUAGGGAGGUGGGGACUGACGUUUGUUGGUGGCAGCUGAUUGUGAGUAGGCAUUUGUGUGUCCAUUUCCAUACCUUGGCCCCCCUCCCCAAACACCAGCAUUUCUCUACAUAAUCAGUAUUCGAAAUUAAAGCACAUUUGUUCUGAUGCCAUUUACAUCCUGGGAGUAAGCCUUGGUAUGCUGGUCAAGAGGACAACGUGUGAUACUUACCUGGCACGGGAGAUACCAUAAUCACAAGAGAACAACAUGUGGCAGUCAAAUAACCAUAGCGAUCACUUAUCUAGAAUCCAGAUACAGGCAGGGCUCCAGGAGAACUUAAUGAGCAGCAUCUCACUAAGCCUCACAAUAGUCCUAGAAGGAAGGUCAGUUCGAAUUAUCCCCAUUUUACAAGUAAGACAGUCAAGGCUUGGAGAAUUUCCCUGACCUGCCCAAGGUCACAUUGGUGACUGGAGGAGUCAGCUUUCAAACCUAGUCAGGCUGACUCCAGAGCUCUUGAUGAGCAUGCUUCUCUUUUAAUUGGAUAAAAUAGGUGCUCUGGAAAGGAAUCAGUUAUGGAGAGGGGAGGGAUGGAAGGAAGGAAACAGAGCCCCUUGCCCAGGCUGAGUGAGCCAUGGGCUUGGCAGACGUUCUCUGUCAUGUGCUGGUUGUAUGUAGAAGCAUCGGAUGCAGCAGAGACCAGGGUCCCCCGCACAGCUUUUGUCACGCUCUGCCACCUUUUGAAAAUUCUAUUCUCUGGGAGGCUGGUGGGAGCAAAGGGGAAGGGCUUCUGCUAUGGCCACAUCAGGAAGCUUAUUCCUGUGCUGCCUGUACGCAUGACUGGCCAAGAGCUAAACCCUGGAAGAUGAGGCACUUCCUAUCCUCCUUUCAGGACCCUUGUCCCUCUCUGUCCCUUCAUGCUGACACUCAGCCCAUCAACCUGCCAUCCUCAGUAGUUUCCAGUGCUCCAGAUCUUUCCAUCCUAAUUCCUCCAUUUAAAAUCCUACUUCUAUCACUGAAAAAUAUAACAAUAGCAGUUGCUAACAUUUAUUGAUCAUUUUUUAUGUGUAGGGCUCUGUUGCCACCAUUUACAAGCAGCAUCCCAUUUAAUUCUUAUGGUCCUAUGGGCAGGCACUCUUAUUGUGUCCAUUUGACAGUGGAAGUCACUCAAGUUCAGAGUGGUUAACUUGUCCAAGGUCAACCAAUCAGCAAAUGGUGGAGAAGGACUCAUACCCAGGUCUUUCUAAUACCAAAACUUAUGCUCGUGUCCUUCUCUAGUAGUCUAUAUUACCUCACAAACACUAUGUCAAUAACCAGGAUCCCCAUGUGGCAGUCAAAUAACCAUAGCGAUCACUUAUGGUUGGAUGUUACUUUCCUAUACAAGGUACACAUGAUAAGAUUCUUCAGGUUUUUUAAAAAGUAUCUGGACAGAACUAUAAUUCAAGAAAUACAUGAUGCCCCUAUGUUCACUGCAGCACUAUUCACAAUAGCCAAGACAUGGAAACAACCUAAAUGUCCAUCAACAGAUGAACAGAUUAAGAUGUGGUACAUAUACACAGUGGAAUACUACCCGGCCAUACAAUAGAAUUAAAGAAUGCCAUUUGCAGCAACAUGGAUGCAACUAUAGAUUAUCAUAAUAAGUGAAGUAAAUCAGAAAGUGAAAGACAAAUACUAUAUGAGAUUACUUGUAUGUGGAAUCUAAAAUAUGGUGAAAAUGAACCUAUAUGCAAAACAGAAACAGACAGACAUAGAGAACAGGCUUGCGGUUGCCAAGGGGGAGGGAGUGGGAUGGAUUAGGCGUUUGGGGUUCGUGGAUGCAAACUAUUACAUUUAGAAUGGAUAAACAACAAGGUCCUACUGUAUAGUACAGGAAACUAUGUAUUAUCUCUUGGGCUAGAACGUGAUGGAAUAUAGUAUGAGAAAAAGAAUGUGUGUGUGUGUGUGUGUGUGUGUGUGUGUGUGUGUAUGACUGGGUCACUAUGCUGUACAGCAGAAAUUGGCACAACACUGUAAAUCCACUAUACUUUAAUAAAAAAAAGACCCUCUCUCAUCUUUUCUCCAUUCCUUCCUUCUACUCAUCUCAUACAAAUUUAGCACAUUUUCCUAGUUGCCUCCAGAGUUUACCUUCACAUAUGAUGCUCACUGUGCCUAGCUUGGUUAAUUCAAACUUUGAGUCCUGCUAAAUUUUCUUAAUCUUGCCCUGAUAUUCUUUCUUUUGCUCUUUAAUAUUUUUUUCUCUCUCAGCAAGAAUGGCCUGGCAUCUGCCCUCACCAUUAUCUUACUGGCUUCUCUUCUUCCUCGUCACCACUCGCUCACAGGAUGGACUCAUUUGCUGUCAUGUUAUCCUUGCAAGUUGGGCAGCACCAUUUUUAUUGAGCCCAUUUGAUAGAUGAGAAAACUGAAGCUCAACUGACUUAAGGGACUUGCAAGGGAUCACACAGUCUCUGCUCCAAUUGGAAGGUCUUCCCUAGUGCUAAUAGCUACAAGCAAAAGUAGGUUUUAAGAGUGCCUGAGAUAUGUGGGGGCUUCUAAAAUAUAAUUUCGACUUAAAAAUCACACCAUUUUCUGGGUGUUUUUUGCUAAAGCACCAGAACUAGAAUGGAAUAAGCCGAGUUAGAGGCCUCUAACGAGCCUCAGAUUUUCUAUUCAACUAGGAGAAGAUGAGUGUGAUACUUUAGGCAUCAAGCAAAUACAGUGAAGUAAAUCACCUGCCACUCUGAGCCAAAGCCGGGAUGAGACUUAGUAGCUUUUAAAGAAAAUGAUCUUCUUAUUUCUGGGCUCAAUCAUCCUAAUACCCUAACGAAUGCAAAUAUUAAAGGAAAAUACAUGGCUAACAAUAUACAGAACUUGGUGCUGUGAAGAAUGACCUGUUUUGGGAAGGGCUCUAACUUUUUCUCAGUACUUAGCAUCAAGUAGCAAUUUCAGUUCUCCAUAUGGCAAAAGGGCUAGUAAGUAGGAAAUUUAAGGAUAGUUUGGGCUUAGGGGAAAAAGAGCAUCUUUUUCUCCUAGAUACCAGACACACCUUCCUAGUCAGAUUUCUGCAUUUAAGACUUUGUUAGAAUUCUGCCCAUAUUUUCAGUACCUGGCCUAUUGUUCAGCAGAUGGCAGAGGUUUAAUAAAUGAUGGCUGUCUAGGUGGAUUUGGGCAGCUAUUGUGUAUUGAUUGCUUGUCCUGGACAAUCAUUCAGUAUGCUAGCCUAUGCUGUUCUUAUCAGGGACAACAUAGAGCCAAUAUGGCCCAAACUCUAGAUGGAGUAAGUCACUUUAC